GGCUGGCUGACUGAUUAUUCCCUUCAUUUAGAGCCCGCCCACCGACAUCGAAAUAUAGCCUCGACUUUCCAUGUAUAUUACAUUUUUUUACCCGGGGUUUGACAGACACUUCUAGCAACCAAAGAGCGCUGAUCUGUGAGGUUGUGAGGUAGCAGAAGUUGAGCUGAGAGCACCGGAGCAAGACUGCGCACCAGGCGCUCUCCAAACCAAAUGUUUGAGUGACCAUAAGCAGACAAUCCACCCUGGAUAUGCACACCUUUUCUCUCUGUAACUUGUCGAUCACACCAAAACUAUGUUUCAAAGUUCGGAAAACCCCCAGAAUCCAUAAACUAUGUCUCACUAAUUAAUAAGCAGCACUUAUGAAUUACCAUAAUGAAAUUCAUUUAAAGAAAGUCACGAUUUACACAAACAUUUUUAUAAGCAAAAACUUUCAGUCUUUUUUGUCCUGUUUACAUUUGUUUUCAAUUCAGUGGCUGUUUAAUCGGACCAGUUGUCCCGUGUUAUGCAUUAUUUAACAGUUGUUGAAGACAAACAAGGGGGUAUGUUUCUCAAAGUGCACGCGCGUGGAAGCCAGACAUUAUGGACUGGAGUAGAACGGGGUUGGAGGGCGUUUUUAGGUAGUAUAUAGCGGUUUUCAAGGAUACACGCUAGAUUGAACAGCGAUUGAGUAUUACACCACAAAGGCACUGAAAACACUGCGAGGGACGUUUGAGCAGGUGAUCGGGUUUCUCCUCUGGCCCAUCAGCUGAAUAGGUGGGGCUUGAUCAAUGGCAGGAAACUGAAGGAUCAAAUGACAUAAAAUGGUGCCAGGCUGCGACAUGAAGGCAGAGGCUGUGAAACCGUACCCUCAUCAUCAGACUGUACAGUAGAAAGACAGAAUCACAAUCCUGGUGAAAGCAGGGCAUAAAAACACUGCUGCAUGAUAAGGAGCUGCGCAGGGACUUUGAACAUUUUAUUAGUAUCUAUAAAAGAGGCACAAGACGACGGACACACUGUCUAUAAAGCCCUAAUGGAGGAUCAAUUAAGAUGGUCAAGCUGCAGAAAGAGACUUUUACAGUGUAGGGUUUUAACACUAAACUUGUCCUUUCACACUAACGCUGAAACCACAAGACUGGAAAAUGCAGUGCAGGUUUAAUUCCAGCGCAUCUAGCAAUAUAUUGAGAUCACUAACAGUAAACAAGUUUGUUCUGGUGUAAAUAUAAAAUCAAGCAGAUUAAGAAUGACAGAAGGGUUGAGCUUACAUGUUUUAUGGGGACUUUCCAUGGACAUUCAUUUUUAUGUUGUUCAAACCGUAUGCAAUCCCUAAGUCUAAACUUAACCUGAAAGAAAUAAUUUUGCAUUCUUGUUAAGAAAACCUAGUUUACUGUGUUUUAUAAGCUGUACUUCACAAAAAAAGCCUAGCAGCAUUGGAAAUCCCCAAAGCACACAUUUAAUUUUUUUUUAUUAUUUAUCAGUCAAAAAUAAGACGUAUCUUUUUUUUGUCUACAUCAAAUUGAAUUUGUAAUUUUAUACACACAGAAAUAAUUUUGUGCAUCCACAAUUAAAGUGUCUAUCUCAAUGUUUCAGAUGACUUUAGUGAAAAAUAAAAUGUCAAAAUACUGCCAUAAUAAAAUGCAUAUUUUAAAUAAUAAUUUUUUUUCUAGUUGACAAAUGUGUAAAGAAAAGUGGAAAUAUGAAUACAAAAAUAUUAAAUUCAAUUAAUUUUUAUUUUAGGGCACAGUGAUCCUUAAAUAAAGUUUUUCUUUAAUAUAUUAUACAAUUAUUAUUGUACUAAAAACACCUGAUAAAAAAAGAA
This is a non-coding RNA of Danio rerio (zebrafish), 1795 nucleotides long. NCBI's taxonomy places the organism in Eukaryota, Metazoa, Chordata, Actinopteri, Cypriniformes, Danionidae. The record is from RefSeq and is a predicted model, not a curated record.